AAAGGAAGUAGGAGCGGAUAUUAGAUACAGGCAGAUCACAAUACAGGAUGCAUUAAACCAUAGACAUUUUACUGGGUUGGAGAUGAGUCUCAAGUAUCAAUCAAUUCUCUAAAGGACCAAGUUUAAUUGUGUUUAACAGGUCCAUGUUAAACUUGUCAGCUCUAUUCUGUGGUUCAGUUUCAACCAAACAAGGAAGGGCAUCGAUGCAAUGAAGAUGAAACUGUUCUGUUGGCAUUCGAGGCGAGUUUGAGAGAGUAUUCGUUUUUGGUCAGUUCUCCCUUUAAGGACACACUGAACAAGACUCCAGUGUUUAUGUCUGUUCUUCUGAGUUAAAUUUCUUCUUAUUUCUUUGUCGUAUAAACAUUUGUUCCACAUCAGUUUCUCUUAAUUAGUUAAUGAACAGAAAUGAAGAAGAAACAAGGAAGUCCUUUGUGUACCAUGCUAACUAGACUUUGAACAAAAUACAUGACUCAGCAUGAGAUGACAAAACUGUAUCUACAGCAAUCAUAAAACAAUAAACGACGAUUCUAGAAAACACUACUGCAUUUAUAUUUUAGGAAAAGGCCGAGUGAUGUUCAUGAACUUGAGCACAUGUUGCUGAUGUAUGACACGUGCAUAUUGAGCAACUGUGGUAAUUUCGGUGGCUGACAACUAACUAACCACACUCAUUUCCGUAAAACUUGUUCUUUAGUUUCGUUUUAAAGACCUGGUCCAUCCUUUUUUAUUAACAAGAGGUAGAUUAAUGUGGACCAGUUCAUAUGGUUGAAGUCAUGAUCCUUCAGUUCUUAUAAAAACAAAGUAAAAACCUUCAUACAAUUGGCAUUUGCAUUACUCAGCUUCUGAAGAAACACGAGCUAAAGCUCUCCAGAGACCCAGAGUGUGAAUCCGGAGAAAUCCAAGACUGAUGGGAGCUCAUAAUGUGGUAUUACUUGAAGCAUACCUGCCCUUUCCAUUGAGAAGACUUCACACACCCUGCAAAAUGUCGCCCGUAUCUGAAGGCUACUGUGGCAACCUUGUGUCCUCGUGUUCGGUCUGAUGAGGAUCAAAAUGAAAGAUGAUUCAGCCAACAAUCCCCUAGUUCGAAUAACAGGCACUGAGCUGAGCUGAUUAGGUGGGUGACUUACAGUGACGGAGGUGACUUCCCACUUCCUACUCACUCUCUCUCCGUCUCGCUCUAUCUUUGAGGAAGAACCACUGCAGAGAUGCUUGAAUCCAUCUCUUACUGAUUUGCUUGCUGAAAUUGGAGAGAUGUGGAGGUGGUGAAUUUGCUCCACACCCCCCAAUCUGCCUGUCAGAGGGAUGUUGAAAAAUAUUCGAUGGAGAAAGAUAUGAAAUGAAGGGUAUCUUACGUGUCUUUGCUGAUGCUCUUCGGAGGACGCUUCGCUGGAGAUGACAGCCCGUCUUCUUCUCGCCAUGUGCUGUAACAAAAGCAUCCCAUGCAUCUGAUGCCUGUCCCUUUAAAGCCUUGCUGCAUCCCUGCAGGUGGCCUGUCAAUUUAGCGGAUCUGAAUGACGUCACCGCAUGGCUGAAAAAGCUGAUGUGACAAACCCAGGAUGCUGAUCUCCAAGCUCAUUAAAUGGACACCUAAUGACGGUUUGUCCUCAGUAAGUGAGAUCGAUGUGAGUCCUCAGUGUGUGCCGAGGAAGUGAAGAUGUUACGCAAUUGGAGAAGACACUGAUGAGUCCGCAGAGGAGGACAUUAGAUCAGUAGUUCAUGUGUCCAUCACCUUACAACUGAUCUAGAAUGAAGAAAGUACAUCCUGCUUUACAUUUUGGUGGCUUUAUGUCCAAACGGAUGUAGCAGGACUGUACACUUUUCCUCUAAAAAUCAGAAGGCUGCUUGUACGACAGAGGUCAUCGUGUAGGUACUGUCAUCUGUUUAUUUGAUUUAGCAAGGAAGCAAUUUUAAAACAGAAUCCCUGAUUCUUUUUUGCACACGCUGAUCACAGAUUUGAAGUGCAUGGUUGUUAAGAGGGUUUGUAAACAAUACUGUAGCGGUAUCAUUCGAUCUUAAGAGUAAAUAUGAGAUGUGAACACUUAACAAAGAGCAUGUCUGAAAGGGCACAAGUGUUUGGAGAUUUGUGUCCUCCAUAAUCACUAUUAAUUUGUAUUUUUGCUGUCACGCCACACAAAUGACAUGUGGGUAAUUAGGACCAAAUUAAGAGGGUAUUUAUCAUGGAGAUUGCAAUCAAUUAAUUAAAACCAAUAAUCUCAAUAUGCACAAAUUGGCAUUUGGUAUACAAUGUAAUUGUCAAACUGCAUGCAUGGAAAACCAGGGACAAUUUGAGAUCCAAUUUGUUGCAGGGAUAAAAGUGCCUUCUUAAAAAUUAUAAAAGGGUC
Molecule: long non-coding RNA, 2339 nt
Organism: Ctenopharyngodon idella (grass carp)
Lineage: Eukaryota; Metazoa; Chordata; Actinopteri; Cypriniformes; Xenocyprididae
Exons: 8
Source: RefSeq, a predicted model, not a curated record